Molecule: unclassified non-coding RNA, 235 nt
Filed under: plant metagenome
Description: partial contains small subunit ribosomal RNA and internal transcribed spacer 1
Source: RNAcentral
AAGUCGUAACAAGGUCUCCGUUGGUGAACAAGCGGAGGGAUCAUUACAGAGUUAAUAAACUCCCAACCCAUGUGAACUUACCUAUGUUGCCUCGGCGGGAGAGCCUACCCGGUACCUACCCUGUAGUUACCGGGAGCGAGCUACCCUGUAGCCCGCUGCUGGCCGACCCGCCGGUGGACAGUAAAACUCUUGUUUUUAGUGGAUUAUCUGAGUGUUUAUACUUAAUAAGUUAAAA